Non-coding RNA from Prunus avium (sweet cherry), 823 nucleotides. Lineage: Eukaryota; Viridiplantae; Streptophyta; Magnoliopsida; Rosales; Rosaceae. The record is from RefSeq and is a predicted model, not a curated record.
CACUCUCACCCUAACAAAAAUUUCACGCUUGAAUCUCAGCUCCAUUCAGACAAAAAAAAUAAAAUCUCAGCCCCAAAUCGAAACAACACUCCCUUCCUCCUCCAGACCCAAACCCUUAAUCUCUCUCUCUCUCUCUCUCUCUCUCUCUCUUCCUCCUUCGAUGAAAGGUCUGACCUAAGAGCGUUGUAGCUAAGGAUCAACGCCACCACCCCAUGACCACUGACUGCUCCACGUUUUGUUUCACAAGCACUGGAUGGUUCUUAUUGUAGAUCUCUUCAAUGACUCUAAAAGGUAAGAAAGACUAUAAUCUAUGUUCCCAGCAGCUGUUAGAAGUCCUUGUACUGAUAUUGCUUGUGUUUUGCAGUUAUGGUUUGCUUCACUUCAUUGACAGAGGAAGAGAAGGAAAAAGCAGUGCAGCUUGACUCAUGGAACUAGUUCAUUGAAAUGAGAGAAGUCUUUUUUAGACAAAUGGUGACUUGUAGAUUCUCUAAUUUGUGGUACCCAGCUAGCUACAUUCUGGACGAAGACAUCCCUUGUGCACAUAAACUCUAUUUGGUCUAUGAGAAAGUCUGGCCUUCGAGUUAAGGAAGGUGAGUUAGUUAAGGAAGGUGUGGUUGUGAUUAUUCUAGUACCAUUUACACCCACUUUUGGACAUGAAGCAUCACAUCCUCUCAAACUAUCAAGGAGAUCAUCUUUUUGGAUGUUUACUUUGUUUUGGACAGUGCAAAGUAUCAAAUCUUCUCAAACUUGAUAGGAUUGACUUUGUGGGAUUAGUUAAAGACAAUUUUAAUGUACUAGAAUCAUUUUGAAUAAUAGAAAUAUA